ACCAACAACUAUAUCACCCUGCAACUCACAACUGGCAGCCCACUAAAGCAAAGCAGGUGAGAGCCUGGUCAGUACCUGGAUGGGAGACCUCCUGAGAGAGCUAAGGUUGCUGCUGGAA
RNAcentral lists this ribosomal RNA (118 nucleotides) under Lepisosteus oculatus (spotted gar). The record is from RNAcentral. Lineage: Eukaryota; Metazoa; Chordata; Actinopteri; Semionotiformes; Lepisosteidae.